This 585-nucleotide long non-coding RNA is filed under the name Cavia porcellus (domestic guinea pig). Its description in RNAcentral is "lncRNA (ENSCPOG00000034592.1)". The record is from RNAcentral. Lineage: Eukaryota; Metazoa; Chordata; Mammalia; Rodentia; Caviidae.
UGGAGGGCUGCGCGCUCCUCGCCUGGAAGCUGGAGGCGCGCUUGGGCGACCGCGCUCCUCCCUCUCCUCUGCACCCGCUGGCACGCUGCGCGCCCGCGGAGGAGCCUCGCCAGCCUCCAGGUGAAUUGAAAGUCGUUUCCGGGGGAGGACGGAGAGGGUGCUGCAGUCCUGGCAUGCACUGAAACUGCAAGUCGGACAGAAACAGCCCGGUGGAGGAGCAGGGCGCGCGCCGAGCGCAGCAGCGCGGGGCUGACGCUGCUCAGCUCCCAGCCAAGCGCGGCGUCCGGACCUAUCCCGGGGCUCCGACCGGAGCGCGCUCGCCUGCCGCGGACCCUUGCCCCUCUUGCGCCUUAGCUGCUGCGCGGGUGUGGGGAAUGCGAGCGCCGAAGCUCGCGGUCGCCGCGGAGCAGCUGCCGGUGGGAGAGCGAGCAGAGGCGAGGGGGCGGCAGACUCGGCCCAAAGAUUGUUCCCUUGGACACUUGGCUUAAUGUCUCCGAUGAACACAAUGCUUUCUGCAGCAGGAAAUAUUGACUGUGGGGUGAGUGAGACAACUCCAUAAUCGACAUGUUUAUAUGAACAAUGUGU